GUGCCUGGGGAAAAUGAGAGAAGGCAAACAUUCAAAAGGCUUUGAAUCUCACGAACACAGACUAAUCAUGGAAGUAAAAGUCAGUGAGGAACUGCGAGUCUGUGUGAAAAGACAGUGCCUUUGAUUUUCAUGAGAAAAUUGCAAAAAAAAAAAAAGCUCAGUAACCAGAUUAUUGGGUACCAUAUUGGGUACACCGAGUUUCUAUAUUCCCCUACUUUCACACUGAAUUUACCUUUCUAGCCCCUUUUCAUAGCAGGGGGUCAAUUUUUUUCUGCCACUUCCCUGCAGGACUUGGAGUUUUCUAAAGUGACAUCUGUCAUGCACCUGAGUGGAGAGCCAUCCCAAGGAAAAGAUCCACAUAUUGGGAGCUGACCUUUCACAUUAUUCUUCCCAAUACCACAGUGAGCAAAUCUGUCCAAAAUGGUAAUAUCAACCCUCGAGGUUACAAAUAUCUAGCUGCUGAAAUGAAUGGAAGAGUCAGCCCUUCCAGGUACCCCAAGCAAAUUCCCUUUAUUAGAACUUCAUAGAAUACACAUCAACUCUGUUCUUGUUGCCCAAGUAGAAUUCCAUACUCACGAUCUGCCGUAUAAAACGAAAGACCUGACUGAUGAAGUUCAGCUCUUCAUUCCUCACUUGGGAGGUUUUUUUCUGGAAAUCUUUUUUUUUUUUUUUUUUUUGUCUUUAUCAUUUUAACAUUAUCAGUGUGUCUUUCUAUUUGCUUGCAUAGAACUCAUUUUUACAUGUUUCAAUUAGUUCAACAAAUGAAAAUCGAACCUACUCUACAUAAGGCGAAGCAUCAGAUGCUCUAUUAAAAAUUUCUUUCACCCAUCUGUCUUUCGUUUCAGUACAUUUUGAAAUGACAAAUGAGUAAAUCUCAAAAUAAGAAGCAGCUUGGACUUCUGAUACAUAACUACAAUUAUCACUUACUAACUGGGUAUACUUGAGGAUAUUUUUUUAAAUCUCUCAGAACCUCAGAACCCAUCAUCCUUUGUAAAAUGAAAGUAAUAGUAUCUAUUUCACCAAGUGUUGCCUUCCACGCAGUAAAUGGUAGCUGCUCACAAUUAAACGGAGAUCGUAUUCGUACGCAAGACUGGCACAUAGUAUGCAAAAGCAGUUUGUAAACUACAAAUGUUAUACGAUUACAAGAUAUUAUUUUUUAUAAAUAGCUCUAAUAAUUUUAAAUUUGACUCAUGCUCACUACCGUAAGCUGGCAUAGCUUGGAGAUUUGUUUGGCCACCGGGCUUCAGAGCGAAGACUUGAUAAGGGUAUUGCCAGCUCUCAUCUGGACCCUGGGGCCUGUUUGGUUGUUGUCUGUGCAGAGCCUGACCUUUGCCUGACAUUCCCCCCUGGGAGCCAUCUGAGACGCUCCCAGCAGACACACAGAGAAGUCGGAAGCUUAACUUCCUAAGGGGUCAUUACAUUAGUUCUGCAGCCUGAUGACAAGCCAUCCGUAGGAAAUGUUGAAAACCCAAAUCCUUCUGUCCAAUUGAAGACACUUUCAAUAAGCAAGGUCUCCACGAAAUGAACAAGAAUGCCAUCAUGAGACAGGAACACUUCAGUGGGCAGUGGGGCUUGUUCAUUAGUUGGAGGCCACGCUCAGAAGCUUCUGAGCCCCUUGAUGCUGUCAUAGAGCAACACUCUUCCAGAUUCAUUUCCAAAGUCAUUCAUCAGCCAUCCAAGAUUUGGGAGAAGAAACUCACAUGAGACUAAAUUUAUUCUGGAUUGUUCCAAUGAGAAAACGAAAAUAUAUGGGGUGAUUUUUUUCAAGAGACCAGUUACAACACAAUAGAAAACCAUUGUUUUUAAUGAUUUGAGCCAUCCAACAAUGAAAUGAAUUUUUGCUAAUGUAUAAUUUUCACUGAAAGUGUUCAAGCAAACUCUAGGUGACCACUUAUGCAGUGAUAGAGGACUUAUGUAUUUCAAAGUCCCUUUGAAAGCCUAGAAUCUGAUUCCAAGAAUAUCUCAGUAAUUAUUUUAUAGUCACAUCAAAUAUAUAUUAAAAUCUGCAUGCAUCAAGCCUUUACUCCUCCAGGUGUGUGCUCAAAUGUCACCUUAUUAUAGAGAUCUUACCUGCAUGCAAUAUUAUCACCACAACCUUCUCUCUUCCCUGUUACCCUGUUCUAUUUCUCUCCAUAGAGCUGCCAGAUAUGGUUUGCAUUUAUUUGUUUAUUUAUAUUUUGUCUGUUUCCUCCAACUAAAGAAUGUAAACUCCACAAAGGAAGGGAUUUUGUUGGUUUUCUUCACUACUCUAACCCCAGCACCUAAAUAGGAAUCUGGCAUAAAGUUGAUUGUGUUUAAUCAACUGUCAAAUAAAAAUAAUAUUAAAAUGUUACAGAAAAAUUAAACAAGGGAGGGGGGUGGACGGGAGAAAGAGGAAAAACACAAUUCCACUAUUUUUUUUGUACAUAAUUACAUACCCCUUGUAUUUUCUUCUCAUCUCUUUGCUUUCAAAAAACACCUAGGUUUUUAUACAGCUAUAGUCAUUAUUUUACCUAACAUGUGUUAUACAGCUGAAUAACUCUCAUCUCAUUCACCAAAUCUGGCUAUUGUGAUUUGAUGUCAUUUCCAAAAAUCAAACCCAUUUUCACAUAAAAAAAAGUGUGUGACCAGUGAGGCUACACAAAAGGUAUAUGCUACAGCCCAUAAAAAACCAACGAACUCACCAUUUCUAAUUUCAUAAUCAUCGCUCUCAUCAGUAUCAUUGAAGAGUCAUAGUUAUUUUUGGAGGCAGAAUAACAUCAUGAGUGAGUUAAGAUCAUAUUAGCCAAAACAUUCUUGCAAAAAAAAAAAAAAAAAAGUUGGAGAACUUACAACGGGCACUACAAGUCCAUAGCAAUUAAGACAAGGUGGUAUCUCAUAAAAAAUAGACAUAUAGAUCCAUAGAACAGAACUGACUCUCCAAGAAACUAAUCCUUACAUUUAUGGCCAAUAAAUUUUCCACAAAGGCACCAAUGCAAUUCAAUAGGGGAAAGUAUAGUCUUUUCCAAAAAAGUUGCUAAGCCAAUCAGAUAUCUGUAUGCAAAAAGAUGAAUUUAGACCCUCAAACUUAUACAUAUGCAAAUACAAGCUGAAAUGAGUAACAGCCCUAAAUAUAAACACCUAAAACUAUAGAACACUCAGAAAGAAAACAGAAGAAUGAGAAUCUCUGAUCUGGGAUUAGGAAUCAUUUCUUAGAUAACACCAAGAAUUCAAGCAGUAGACUCUUCAAAAGACACCAGUGUGGAAGAAAAUAUCUGCAAACCAUACACUUGCUGAAGUCCUGAAUAUGUUAUAGAACUCUUACAGACCAAUAGUAACAAGGCAACCCAACUUAGAAUGUAAGAUUUGUCCCAAAAAAUACU
Molecule: long non-coding RNA, 3341 nt
Organism: Leopardus geoffroyi (Geoffroy's cat)
Lineage: Eukaryota; Metazoa; Chordata; Mammalia; Carnivora; Felidae
Exons: 3
Source: RefSeq, a predicted model, not a curated record